This 6528-nucleotide long non-coding RNA is filed under the name Sorghum bicolor (sorghum). RNAcentral's name for it is "long non-coding RNA (SBIC_LNC010004)". The record is from RNAcentral. Lineage: Eukaryota; Viridiplantae; Streptophyta; Magnoliopsida; Poales; Poaceae.
CGAACGCCUUGCCAAGAGGUAAACUUGGUAGUUAUCUUUUUCCUUUUAAUUAUUUAAAAUAGUUUGCUUAGUUAAUCAGGUUCAUAUCAUCUUGAAAAGAAAAUAAAAAUGUUGAAAUAGUAAGCUCCAUGUGAGUAUGCUCAUGGCAUAAAACCCAUAAGUACAUUCACUGUGGUGGCAUAAAAAUGAAAUAAAUAUAUUCUUGUCCUAUAAAAAUAAAAUUAUGAUCCUACUAAAGACAGUAACAUUUAUUUAGGAGACUCAACAUGAUAAAGGCUAGAUAUUUAUGCUAACACUUAACCAGUUCCACAAAGUGUUGUUGUCUAUUUGAGCUCCACAGAAUUCAAGGAUCAAAGAAGACUAGCAGACGGAGGACAUCCUAAUGGCUGUCAGGGUACUGCCGACAUUCAAAUACACCUCUGUCAUCUGCUAGCUACAUCAGAAGAAAUUACGUCGAAAUCCAGCUUGGGGGAGAGCAUCCCCAUUUAUCCAGCUAAGUAUUCUACUCAGGUUUAUACUUUACUCUAAUAUGCUGAUAUAUAUAUCUUUGCUUAGUUUGAUAAAUAAAUAAAUAAAUAAAGUUUGCUAUGAACCCUCGUGAUAAGCUCUCACAUAGAAAUGAUGAAUAGUUGCUCUACCAUGACUAGUUCUCAAAAUUGAACUCUCUCUCAAGUUUAGGCAUGACUGUUAUUAAUUAAGAUUUGCUCUAAACCUGAACUUAUGGGGAGAGUACUUGAUCUAAAGUCUAAGUCAUUAACGGAUACGAUAUGGGAAGGUUGAGCUGCUGUUUAUCUGUUCCUAGAGAUGCUAGAAUUCUGGAGAAUUUUAUCUUUGAAAAUCUUUAAAAUAUCACAUGAUGAGUUCCUGUAUGAUGAGAGUUUAAAAUCCUACCAUAGCCAUAUAUACAUGCUUAUUAGACUAUGAACCAUACAUAUUUACUUUUGACUGCUUAUGAGCAUUGAGUGUGGUCAAGCUGUGUAGACCCUUAGGAGCUUGUCAUGUGGUUAAAAUCAAGAUUCACUUGCACGUUCACUCACACAUGCUGCUUCUACUCCGGAAGUACGCAUCCACAUAUAUCCACCCAUUUCCAUCUCCAGAACCAUCCAAAAAUAUUCUACUCCUAAUCUGGGAGAGAAUAGCCAAAAAUAUUUCUAUUUUUCCCCUGUGAAAAUAAAUGCUCAAGUUAUCUUGGUUACUACCACUUGCUACAUCAUCUCAUGAGAUGAGUGCUCUAAAAAAAGAAGAGAGAGAAAAAAAAAGUGAAUACGAGGAAAUAAAAAGGGGCAAGUGCCCGGAACCUCGAAGAAAAGAAAAAGUGAGACGAGAGGUAAAAAUGGACAAGUGUCCGACAGUAGAAUUAGGGGUACAAGAUACCCACCUGAGAGAAAAGAAAAAGAAAAUAUAGAGCAUCUCACUCUCCUCAAAAAGUUUCAAAAGAGCAAGAAAGGUAUGUAUCCCCUCAAAAGAGCACAAAUAGAAUUAGACUUUCACCAUUGUGUUCACCAUUAUCACCAUCAUCACCAUACACCAUUCAUUCGCCACACAUGGACAUCUUGAUUUGACUUAUUGACUUGUUCUUCUGGAUCCAUGGUUUGACUAUGCAAUAAAUGUCUUGUAAGUAUGUAUUAGCUGUCUCCCACCUAUGAGCUCCAGAUAUCAAAACCUUAUUAGAGUAGGGUGAGAGAGAAGGCAAUGUCACUAUGCCUCAUACGAAAAAUACCACAUACUUUGAGAGAAGGCAUACACCAUUACUGCCUUGGUAAGGAUCUAGAAAUACCACAAAAGAGAGACUAGAGAGAGUCAUACAAGGAAUCUCUGAGUUUUAUUUGAAAAUCUACAAAAACUCCAGAGCUAUAGUUAAUCGAAGAACAAGAGACAUGGCGCUUGAAUAGACCGUUCUAUCUUUUAACUACUCAAGACAGAAGUGACAGUUACAAGCCCCAUGGUGAAAGGUAAAAUGAGUAAGUUUAAAUCUUAACAAUUUACCCUAACCCAGAGAUGAGAUCUUGUUUGAACACAUGUGUACCUUUAAGGCAUGAAACCACUGCAGAAACUCUUGAGUUCAUCUUUGCUCAGGGACGAGCAAAGGUUAAACUUGGGGGAGCUUGUUGACGGUCCUUAAUGCUCAUAUUUAACCAUCAAUUAAUCAUGGAAAAGGAUCCAAAUGCAACCAACACCUAGACUUAGGGUUUUAUCUGACAGAAUUCCACGAGUUUUGGUGUUUGUCUAUUUCUGCAGGGGGUUAUCAGGAAAUACGGAAGAAAGGCCCACACGUCGGGUUUACAUAGAGAUAUUAACGUGCCGCGCAAUUUUCUAUCAUCUAGAAGACUCCAGAAGCCACGGGAACGAAUGGGAGGCCGAUCGGGCCCAGGGGCAGGGCGCCCGCCCUCCCUCCUUGGGCGCCCGCCCAGCUACAGGAACCAAUCAGCUUCAACUUCGCGGAUCGUGCUCCACCGACUCUAAGGAUUAAGGAAAAUCACACGAUUAAGGUCGGUUUGAUCGGAUGGUGGAGAAUAGCGUGGAAAUUCCUUGGGAGCUACUCUUCCUAGAUUUCUUGGGAGCUACUCUUCCUAGAUUUCUUGGGGGCUACUCUUCCUAGACUAUAUAAGCAGACCCCCACCAGCCCCUGGAGGCAUACCUCUUCUACAGAAUCAAAGCUAGGGUUUCAAUUCUUCAUCCAAGUAGAGAGGAUCCCUCUAGUUCUUCUAGUUCUAGUUCCUCUAGUUCUAGUUCUAGUUAGUUCUAGUUGUAAUAUAGAAAAUAGGGAGAGAGAAGAGGAGAGCGGAGGAGGAGCCGGAUCUGUCGGAUCUUCCUCAACAUUGUACUUUUGCAGCAACUGGUUCGUUCUUCGUCAUUCUCCAGGUUCUUCAAUUCAUAACUCCUGAGUUCUCUAAUUACUUUUAUUUACAUUCAAGUUAUUUAUUGGAUCCCCGCUUGCAUCAAGUGCUCUAGUAUUUAUAACGCUAGAGUAGUAAUUAAUAGAUUAGACGUGGUGUUUAGUCUCGCAAUUACCUGGAAUUGCACCCAAUCCUGCGGAUUGUUGUGGUAGCCCUAGGGUAGUGAUAGCCCUAACGGUCGUCGUAUUCCACCACGUUCGGAUCGGUGUUUGUAGGACCGUAGUCAGACCUUUCUAGCCCCCUUCUCAUCUCUUUCUGUGGUUAGUGCUCUGAUGUCCCAAAAUAGAUAAUCUUAAAGUAAUUCUUGAUUCUUAGAUCAACUAGAGAACUCUCAGGAAACAUCCUCUCUUUCCACCAAAAACAAUUAUAUAGUUAUCCUUGGGCGAUCUUGAUUCUUAAUUAGUACACUCACGUUCCCUGUGGAAAUCGAUACUCUGGAAUAUUCCCGGGUGAAGGCUACAUCGGUAUCCGUGCGCUUGCGGAUUUUUCUAUUUGCGUUUAAAAUACCCAACAACCGUUAAAGCAAUCAUCAACAUUGGAACCAGAGAAGUCCACAUGCACUUCCCCUCUGAGAAGGUACGCCGCUGUUUUUAUGACCCUAACUAUAUAGUUGAAGACUCCAAGCAGGUCAGGACAAGAAGAAGACGACGCAACUGCAACCAGAGAAGGCAAAUCAUCAAGGACGGAUGGGCAGACUAUGAAGGAGAAAUGGUAAGGUCUGAAGACAUACAGCUUGAACAGAACUGUCCUGAGGAGACCGUAGCACUGAGUCAGGUGUGGAGAGAGAAGAUAGUUAUACAUGAAGAGCAGGCGCCGCCGGAACCACCGACUACGCCACCCAGCGAAUUCCAGGACGACUGAGAAAAUAGAGAGUCCUGUUCGGAGGACUUAAAAACACCGAACGCGUUGCCAAGAGGUAAACUUGGUAGUUAUCCUUUUCCCUUCAAUUUUUUUGCUUAGUUAAUCAGGUUCAAAUCAUCUCGAAAAGAAAAUAAAAAUGUUAAAAAUAGUAAGCCCCAUGUGAGUAUGCUCAUGGUAUAAAACGCAUAAGUACAUUCACUGUGGUUGCGUAAAAAUAAAAUAAAUAUAUUCCUGUCUUAUAAAAAUGAAAAGAUAAAAAAUAAGAUUGUGAUCCUACUAAAGAGAGUGAUAUUUAUUAGAGGAAGCUCAACAUGAUAAAGGCAAGGAGAUUUUAUGCUAACACUUAACCAGUUCCAUAAAGCUUUGUUGUCUAUUUGAGCUUCACAGAAUUCAAGGAUCAAAGCAGACUAGCAGACGGAGGACAUCCUAAUCACUGUUAGGGUGCUGCCGACAUUCAAAUACACCUCUACGACCUGCUAGCUACAUGAGAAGAAAUUGCGUCAAAAUCCAGCUUGGGGGAGAGCACCCCCAUUUAUCCAACUAAGUAUUCUACUCACGUUUAUACUUUACUCUAAUAAUAAAAAGAUGCAUAAUCAUAUAAACCCAAAUAAAGAUUUUGUGCUUAUAUAUAUAUAUAUAUAUAUAUAUAUAUCUUUGCUUAGUUUGAUAAAUAAAUAAAUAAAUAAAGUUUGCUAUGAACCCUCAUGAUAAGCUCUCAUAUGGAAAUGAUCAAUAGUUGCUCUGCCAUGACUAGUUCUCAAAAUUGAAAUCUCUCUCAAGUUUAGACAUAACUGUUAUAAUUUAAAGUUUGCUCUAAACCUGAACUUGUGGGAAAAGUACUUGAUCUAAAGUCUAAGUCGUUAACAGAUACGAUAUGGGAAGGUUGAGCUGCUGUUUAUCUGUUCCUAGAGAUGCUAGAAUUCUAGAGAAUUUUAUCUUUGAAAAUGUUUAAAAUGUUGCAUGAUGAGUUCCUGUAUGAUGAGAGUUUAAAUUCCUACCACAGCCAUAUAUACAUGCUUGCUAGACUUUGAGCCACACAUUUACUUUACUACUUAUGAGCAUUGAGUGUGGUCAAGCUAUGUAGACCCUUAGGAGCUUGUCAUGUGGUUAAAAUCAAGAUUCACUUGCACGUUCACUCAUAUAUGCUGCUUCUACUCCGGAAGUACGCAUCCACAUACAUCCACUCAUUUCCAUCUCCAGAACCAUCCAUAAAUAUUCUACUCUUAAUCCGGGAGAGAAUAGCCAAAAACAUUCUCCUAUUUCUGUUUUCCCCUGUGAAAUAAAUGCUCAAGUUAUUUCGGCUACUACCACUUGCUACAUUAUUUCAAGAGAUGAGUGCUCUAAAAAAAGAGAGAAGAUACGAGGAAAUAAAUAGGGGCAAGUGCCCGGAACCUCGAAAGAAAGGAAAAAGUGAGACGAGAGGUAAAAAUGGACAAGUGUCCGACAGUAGAAUUAGGGGUACAAGAUACCCACCUGAGAGAUAAGAAAAAGAAAAUAUAGAGCAUCUCAUUCUCCUCAAAAAGUUUCAAAAGAGCAAGAAAGGUAUGUAUCCCCUCAAAAGAGUACAAGUAGAAUUAGACUUUCACCAUUGUUAUCACCAUCAUCACCAUACACCAUUCAUUCGCCACACAUGCACACCUUGAUUUGACUUAUUGACUUGUUCUUCUGGAUCCAUGGUUUGACUAUGCAAUAAGUGUCUUGUAAGUAUGUAUUAGCUGUCUCCCACCUAUGAGCUCCAGAUAUCAAAACCUUAUUUGAGUAGGGUGAGAGAGAAGGCAAUACCACUAUGCCUCAUACCAAAAAUACCACAUACUUUGAGUGAAGGCAUACACCAUUACUGCCUUGGUAAGGAUCCAGAAAUACCACAAAAGAGAGAAUUGAGAGAGUCAUACAAGGAAUCUCUGAGUUUUAUUUGAAAAUCUGCAAAAACUACAGAGCUAUAGUUAAUCAAAGAACAAGAGACAUGGCGCUUGACUAGACUGUUCUAUCUUUUAACUGCUCAAGACACAAGUGACGGUUGCAAGCCCCAUGGUGGAAUGUAAAAUGAGUAAGUUUAAAUCUUAACAAUUUACCCUAACCCAGAGAUGAGAUCUUGUUUGAACGCAUGUGUAUCUUUAAGGCAUGAAACCGCUGCAGAAACUCUUGUGUCCAUCUUUUCUCAGGGAUGAGCAAAGGUUAAGAUUGGGGAAGCUUGUUGACGGUCCUUAAUGCUCACAUUUAACCGUCAACUAAUCAUGGAAAAGGAUCUAUAUGCAACCAACAUCCAGACUUUGGGUUUUAUGUGACAGAAUUCCACGAGUUUUGGUGUUUGUCUAUUUCUGCAGGGGGUUAUCAGGAAAUACGGAGGAAAGGCCCACACGUCGGGUUUACAUAGAGAUAUUAAUGUGCCGCGCAAUUUUCUAUCAUCUAGAAGCCUCCAGAAGCCACGGGAACGAAGCGGAGGCAGAACAGGGCCUGGCCUAGGGCGCCGCCCUAGAGACCAGGGCGCCCGCCCACCUUCUGUGCCCAAUCAGAGUCCUUUUCGGGGAUUAUGCUCCACCGACCUAAAGGAUCAAGGAUAACCGUUCAAUCAAUGUUGGUUUGAUCCGACGGCCCAGAUUCAUCUGAAAAGACUAUAUAAGCAAGGCCCUCUGGCCCCUGGAGAGCAUACCUCUUCUAUAGAAUCAAAGCUAGGGUUUCAAUUAUUCAUCCAAGUAGAGAGGAUCCCUCUAGUUCAUCUAGUUCUAGUUCUAGUUCCUCUAGUUCUAGUUAGUUCUAGUUGUAAUCUAGA